Molecule: long non-coding RNA, 1074 nt
Organism: Neopelma chrysocephalum (saffron-crested tyrant-manakin)
Lineage: Eukaryota; Metazoa; Chordata; Aves; Passeriformes; Pipridae
Exons: 3
Source: RefSeq, a predicted model, not a curated record
CGCCACGAUGGGGCACAAAACUGCUCCAGGGAGGGUUCAGAGUACCCGGCACAGGAAGUCCCUCCCCCCUCCCCUCUGGAUAAUGAAGUGACCCCCCCCAAAGCUCUCCUGGGCUCCAGGCCGCGAUGCUCCACACCCCGUCAGCCCCAUCUGGCAGCCCCUGGAAAUAAUCCUCAUUGUUACAGCUCAUGUGAUGUUAUCCAGGUGCACCCAAACGUUCUGUAUUCCAGGUGUGCCCAGGCACCUGGCCAGCCUGACCCAAAACAAAGGUGGUUUCUUCAAAGCAGUGGAUUUACACGAUAAAGUUAUGCCACCACUUUGCAUUUCUGUUAUUAUGGAAUUGUUCAACUGUUGCUUUGAACUCCUGUAACCCCAGCCUGCACACAGUGGAAAAAUUCUGGGUUUGAUUGCCUGAGCAUGAGGUUACAGCUCACAAUAAAGGGUUUGCUGCAGUUCCAGCUGAGUGUUCCUGUCUCCUGCAUCAUGGCAGGUUUUCUGCCUUCCUUUUGCAGGGAUCCCUCUGGAGAUUUGUUUCAAGGGUUUUGCUGAUAGAGUAGAAUUGGUAUUUCCCAGGGUUCUACAAUCCCUUUGCUUGGGAAGACUGUCUUUAAAGCCAGUACAUUCCAGUGGGAGCUCAGGUUUGAUCUGGGCUCUUCAGUUUUAUCAAAGCAUCCCAGAUUUUGACCCCUGACUUUCAAAAUACUCAAAAAUUUGCUGCUCAGUGAAUUUGCCUGAAUAAUAGAGGUGCACAGUAAUAACAAGGGCAUUUCUUAAAGCAAAUUUGGAAUAAUUCUGAUUAAGAGAUUUGCCAGCUGCAGGCCCAGCCCCUCAGUAGCCACUUUUUACACUGAAAUACCUUUUUACCACUGUGGUAAGAUUUUCUUGAAAGUUAUUCUUAUAGUUGCUGAGGUAUUUAGGAAGGCAAAGGCCAGGAAUAGGCCUAAGAUGACAGGGUCAUUUUUCACUCCUCAGAUGAGCUUGAUAAGGCUGAAUUCAUCUCCCUGGUGAGUUCUGUUUCACCCAAAAUAAGCCUAGAAGUUGGCUGAGCAGCUUCAUAUCCUCAUGGUUCUCCUU